CUGGCGCUUGGCGUGGCGCGCGCGGCGUUUGAAGCGGCGCUGCGCUAUGCCGGUGAGCGUCAGCAGUUCGGCAAGCCGAUCCGCGAGC
RNAcentral lists this transfer RNA (88 nucleotides) under Pandoraea fibrosis. Its description in RNAcentral is "tRNA-Ser". Lineage: Bacteria; Pseudomonadati; Pseudomonadota; Betaproteobacteria; Burkholderiales; Burkholderiaceae. The record is from RNAcentral.